Molecule: ribosomal RNA, 464 nt
Filed under: uncultured Gemmatimonadota bacterium
Lineage: Bacteria; Pseudomonadati; Gemmatimonadota
Description: bacterial SSU rRNA
Rfam family: Bacterial small subunit ribosomal RNA
Source: RNAcentral
GCAGUCACGGGGGCCCGCAAGGGUAACCGGCGAACGGGUGCGUAACACGUGAGCAAUCUGCCGUCCACUGGGGGAUAGCCGGCCCAACGGCCGGGUAAUACCGCAUACGCUUGCCGGGUGGCAUCACUUGGCAAGGAAACCUCCGGGGGUGGACGAGGAGCUCGCGGCCUAUCAGCUAGUUGGUGGGGUAAUGGCCUACCAAGGCAGUGACGGGUAGCUGGUCUGAGAGGAUGGCCAGCCACAUUGGGACUGAGAUACGGCCCAGACUCCUACGGGAGGCAGCAGUGGGGAAUAUUGCGCAAUGGCCGCAAGGCUGACGCAGCGACGCCGCGUGGGGGAUGAAGCAUUUCGGUGUGUAAACCCCUGUUGCUCGGGACGAACAUCCUGUUUCGACAGGACUGACGGUACCGAGUGAGGAAGCACCGGCUAACUCCGUGCCAGCAGCCGCGGUAGUACGGAGGGGU